This 500-nucleotide ribosomal RNA is filed under the name uncultured bacterium. RNAcentral's name for it is "bacterial SSU rRNA". It matches the Rfam family "Bacterial small subunit ribosomal RNA", at positions 28 to 524 of the family's 1533-position model. The record is from RNAcentral.
GAUGAACGCUGGCGGCAGGCUUAAUACAUGCAAGUCGAGGGGCAGCACGGUUAGCAAUAACUGGUGGCGACCGGCGCACGGGUGCGUAACACGUAUACAAUCUACCUUAAACAGGGGGAUAGCCUUUCGAAAGAGAGAUUAAUACCCCGUAAUAAAUUGAACGGCAUCGUUUGAUUUUGAAAGCUCCGGCGGUUUGAGAUGAGUAUGCGUCUGAUUAGCUAGUUGGUGAGGUAACGGCUCACCAAGGCGACGAUCAGUAGGGGAUCUGAGAGGACUAACCCCCACACUGGUACUGAGACACGGCCCAGACUCCUACGGGAGGCAGCAGUGGGGAAUAUUGGUCAAUGGAGGCAACUCUGAACCAGCCAUGCCGCGUGCAGGAUGACGGCCCUAUGGGUUGUAAACUGCUUUUAUACAAGAGAAAACCCUGGUACGUGUACCAGGUUGAUAGUAUUGUAAGAAUAAGCAUCGGCUAACUUCGUGCCAGCAGCCGCGGUAAU